AUGAGUUUGAACUCUUUGGACAAAAGCACUCAAAUAUUCAACACUAAGAAGAUCCAGUUUGCUGUGGUGUACCACAGGGGUCAAUCCGAGGGUCUCAAUGAUGUAGAUGAAGGUCCAGAUGGUUCAGAGUCUCAGUGUUCUUCCUCUCUCUCCUCCCCUCUCACUGCAGACAUGAAACACUGGCUGACAAACAUCCUGAUUCUGACUCUCUGGCUCGAGUGUAAAGGAGAAGACAGAGUGAUCCAGCGCACAGCAGAUGUCAUUGCUGCUGAAGGACACCACGUCACACUUCUAUGUUCCUUUCAGACCAGUAGCACAAGUGCUUGUUUGUUCUGGUACCAACAAGAACUAAAUGGUUCUCCAAAGUUUAUGCUGAGACGUCUCAGUUUUGGAGGAGGACAAAAUGCUGCAGAGUUCAACAAAGAGAGAUUUGAUGCUGAAGUCAACAAGACAUCAGUUGAUCUGAAGAUCCAGAAGCUGCAGCUGCGAGACUCUGCUGUGUACUACUGUGCUCUGGAGCCCACAGUGACAGCAAGCAGCAAAAGAGAGGACAAAAACACUACA
Molecule: non-coding RNA, 564 nt
Organism: Thalassophryne amazonica
Lineage: Eukaryota; Metazoa; Chordata; Actinopteri; Batrachoidiformes; Batrachoididae
Source: the annotation of a RefSeq genome assembly